CAGUCGCCGCGGUAUUACAGAGGGUGCGAGCGUUAAUCGGAUUUACUGGGCGUAAAGCGUGCGUAGGCGGCUUCUUAAGUCGGAUGUGAAAUCCCUGAGCUUAACUUAGGAAUUGCAUUCGAUACUGGGAAGCUAGAGUAUGGGAGAGGAUGGUAGAAUUCCAGGUGUAGCGGUGAAAUGCGUAGAGAUCUGGAGGAAUACCGAUGGCGAAGGCAGCCAUCUGGCCUAAUACUGACGCUGAGGUACGAAAGCAUGGGGAGCAAACAGGAUUAGAUACCCCAGUAGUCCCUGUCUCUUAUAA
This 301-nucleotide ribosomal RNA is filed under the name uncultured bacterium. RNAcentral's name for it is "partial 16S ribosomal RNA". It matches the Rfam family "Bacterial small subunit ribosomal RNA", at positions 509 to 809 of the family's 1533-position model. The record is from RNAcentral.